UCCGUAGGUGAACCUGCGGAGGGAUCAUUACACAAAUGUGAAGGCGGGCUGGAACCUCUCGGGGUUACAGCCUUGCUGAAUUAUUCACCCUUGUCUUUUGCGUACUUCUUGUUUCCUUGGUGGGUUCGCCCACCACUAGGACAAACAUAAACCUUUUGUAAUUGCAAUCAGCGUCAGUAACAAAUUAAUAAUUACAACUUUCAACAACGGAUCUCUUGGUUCUGGCAUCGAUGAAGAACGCAGCGAAAUGCGAUAAGUAGUGUGAAUUGCAGAAUUCAGUGAAUCAUCGAAUCUUUGAACGCACAUUGCGCCCUUUGGUAUUCCAAAGGGCAUGCCUGUUCGAGCGUCAUUUGUACCCUCAAGCUUUGCUUGGUGUUGGGCGUCUUGUCUCUAGCUUUGCUGGAGACUCGCCUUAAAGUAAUUGGCAGCCGGCCUACUGGUUUCGGAGCGCAGCACAAGUCGCACUCUCUAUCAGCAAAGGUCUAGCAUCCAUUAAGCCUUUUUUUCAACUUUUGACCUCGGAUCAGGUAGGGAUACCCGCUGAACUUAAGCAUAUCAAUAAGCGGAGGA
This 570-nucleotide ribosomal RNA is filed under the name uncultured Alternaria. RNAcentral's name for it is "eukaryotic LSU rRNA". The stretch from base 196 to 349 matches the Rfam family "5.8S ribosomal RNA". The record is from RNAcentral. Lineage: Eukaryota; Fungi; Ascomycota; Dothideomycetes; Pleosporales; Pleosporaceae.